GGGGGUUUAGCUCAGUUGGUAGAGCGUCUGCUUUGCAAGCAGAAUGUCAACGGUUCGAAUCCGUUAAUCUCCACCA
RNAcentral lists this transfer RNA (76 nucleotides) under bacterium. RNAcentral describes it as "tRNA-Ala". It matches the Rfam family "tRNA". Rfam says of the family: Transfer RNA (tRNA) molecules are approximately 80 nucleotides in length. RNAcentral also lists the same sequence under 1 other name. The record is from RNAcentral.